RNAcentral lists this ribosomal RNA (568 nucleotides) under uncultured Enterobacteriaceae bacterium. RNAcentral's name for it is "bacterial SSU rRNA". The stretch from base 14 to 375 matches the Rfam family "Bacterial small subunit ribosomal RNA", at positions 41 to 398 of the family's 1533-position model. The record is from RNAcentral. Lineage: Bacteria; Pseudomonadati; Pseudomonadota; Gammaproteobacteria; Enterobacterales; Enterobacteriaceae.
GAUGAACGCUGGCGGCGUGCCUAACACAUGCAAGUCGAGCGCGUCUGAUUUGAUGCUUGCAUUGAUGAAAGAUGAGCGGCGGACGGGUGAGUAACGCGUGGGUAACCUGCCCUAUACACAUGGAUAACAUACUGAAAAGUUUACUAAUACAUGAUAAUAUAUAUUUACGGCAUCGUAGAUUUUUCAAAGUGUUAGCGGUAUAGGAUGGACCCGCUUCUGAUUAGUUAGUUGGUGAGAUAACUGCCCACCUGGGGGACGAUAGUAGCCGACCUGAGAGGGUGAUCGGCCACAUUGGAACUGAGACACGUUUCAAAUUCCUACUGGAGUGGCUGUUGGGAGUAUUGCACUAUGGGCGCAUUUUUAUGCAUGUACGCCUGUGAAGUGUGAAGUCUUCGGUCGUUUUGUCGGUUUUGAGUGAAGAUAAUUGUUUGGUUUGAGUGUUCCUUGGUGCUAUUGUGUGUAUGGGUGUAUUGUUGGGGUGUGGGUUUCGUCUACUGUGUGUGUGGGUGCGUAUUGUUUUGUGUGUUUUUUUUGUGUUUGUUUGUCUUUGUUUGCUUGCUUUUUGGUU